This 351-nucleotide long non-coding RNA is filed under the name Olea europaea (common olive). RNAcentral describes it as "long non-coding RNA (OEUR_LNC008031)". The record is from RNAcentral. Lineage: Eukaryota; Viridiplantae; Streptophyta; Magnoliopsida; Lamiales; Oleaceae.
GUAUUUUGUGCAACAAUUUUGAUUUAUUGCAUAUAAUUUCUUACCCAAAGGUGUUAUUAUAUGUGAUGGUUUUUUGAAAAUGGUAUAAGGCAGUUAACGAGUUUACCUUGGUCUAGAAAUUUUCUUGUAUCCAAAGGUGUUGGUAUUUCGAAAACCAAUGUAAUUUUGUUAACUGGCUACAUGAUGUGUUUUAAGAGUACCUUAUAGUAUGUUGUAUUGUCGACCCAAAGGUGACUUUAUGAUGAUGCACCUAGGCUCUUAGCGUAAUAAAAUUCAUAUAUUUCGAUUUAAAUUACGGAUUAUCUAAUUAAUGGCACAUAUUAAUUAGUUGGAUAUUACAUCAUCCAUUUG